GUGGAUUAGAUACCCGGGUAGUCCAUGCCGUAAACGAUGAGUGCUAGGUGUUGGAGGGUUUCCGCCCUUCAGUGCCGGAGCUAACGCAUUAAGCACUCCGCCUGGGGAGUACGACCGCAAGGUUGAAACUCAAAGGAAUUGACGGGGGCCCGCACAAGCGGUGGAGCAUGUGGUUUAAUUCGAAGCUACGCGAAGAACCUUACCAGGUCUUGACAUCUUGCGCUAACCUUAGAGAUAAGGCGUUCCCUUCGGGGACGCAAUGACAGGUGGUGCAUGGUCGUCGACAACU
Molecule: ribosomal RNA, 289 nt
Filed under: uncultured bacterium
Lineage: Bacteria
Description: partial 16S ribosomal RNA
Rfam family: Bacterial small subunit ribosomal RNA
Source: RNAcentral